RNAcentral lists this long non-coding RNA (1848 nucleotides) under Triticum aestivum (bread wheat). Its description in RNAcentral is "long non-coding RNA (TAES_LNC019948)". The record is from RNAcentral. Lineage: Eukaryota; Viridiplantae; Streptophyta; Magnoliopsida; Poales; Poaceae.
CAGCCUCACAUACUCUAACUAAUUCUGACUUGGCCAAAUCACUUGGCUCAACCUGAAUGAGCAGCCCGUCACGCUCCAGCCACGGUCGCAUCUUGCCGCAUCACACGGCGUUGCCUUAUCGCAUAGCAAUAUCGACAUCUCCUCGUGCUCGCCGCGUCGCACGGCAGCCUGACAUCUCAUCUUCUCCGCGUGCCUCCGCUGAAGCUUCACCGGACUAGCUACUCUCUAACCUAUCCUACAUGCACAACGAAAGCAAACUAAAUAUGCAGAUACAUGGAAUCAAGAUUAAGUCUAACAUUCACCCCCUAAUCUUGAUUCUCCUAUCAUCAACGCAGAUCACCCACAACCACUUGCCAAGACUUUGCAGCGCCAAGACCACACCACCUUGCCUCACGCUGCAGCUUCACCAUGCUGCACCAUCGAUCUCCACUUGCAUGUUCUUCAGCGGCAUCACACCACUGGUCACGUACAUCUCGCCGCCGUCGUCGCAGCAGCUCACCUUGGGGAUGGCGUCACACCACCCAAAACACCACGGUCAGCUAGCUUCACAUCUAUCCUCAUGAUGGCCUCGCACGCCGUACAUCGAUCUUCUCAGCGGCAUCUCAUCAUCGUCUUGUCGGCAUCGCACCGUCGUCGUGGCAGCAUCGCACUGCCAUCUCCUCCUAGCGGCAUCACACCGCAACCACCUGUUCGCGCGGCAUCACACCGGCGAAGACCUCCUUGUCGUGGACGACGCCGUCGCAGCGCCGGACACCACCGUGCACCAUCUUGUCGUGGUCGACGCCGUCGCAGCGCCGGACGCCACCAUGCACCAUCUUGUCGUGGUCGACGCCGUCACAGCGCCCAUCACCACAUCGUCCUGCCGCACGCAGCAGCCACCUCUUGACGUGGACGGCGCCUUCGCAACGCCGAUCACCACGCCAUCAUCACCUCGCGGCAUCGCACCGAAACCGGCCAUCAGCGGUACCGCACCGCUGCCAGCCAUCACCUCGCACCGACGUCCUCCAUCUCACAUGGAGUCCACCGCGUCACCACCGUCGCACCCGUUGCCUCCGCCCAGCACCACGGCGGCCACCAUAGCCGCCGGCACCGUCGUCGCCGCCACGGAUCAACAAGGCUCUGAUGCCAAUUGUUGGCGCCAUCUCUCCUCUCGCAGCGCCCCUUCUUCUUCUACCUCUUGCUGCCUCUCACAGCUCAACUCUCUUUGUCUCACACAAGAACACACACACAUGGUGAAACUCAGAAAACACAAGCGCGCACCUCACCGUGGAGAACACAGCUUUGCUUUUCACUCCCGGUGAGACACACAUGCACUACAUUAUUUCUGCCAGCCCUCACGGCCUCACUUCAUUACUCAGUAUGCAACAUGUAUAUAUACAUCAGGUGCUGGACUCACGCCACUACCAGGCACCAUUUCCGGCCACUAACAGCACCCUCCACGCACUAACCCAUUCGCCAACUGACUAGCUACAUGCACGCCCAUGUCAAUCACUAACAAACUCACGCAUGCAGUGACUCUUGACUCGGCUAGCACCACGCACACAUGCAGCUACAGCCUCACAUACUCUAACUAAUUCUGACUUGGCCAAAUCACUUGGCUCAACCUGAAUGAGCAGCCCGUCACGCUCCAGCCACGGUCGCAUCUUGCCGCAUCACACGGUGUUGCCUUAUCGCAUAGCAAUAUCGACAUCUCCUCGUGCUCGCCGCGUCGCACGGCAGCCUGACAUCUCAUCUUCUCCGCGUGCCUCCGCUGAAGCUUCACCGGACUAGCUACUCUCUAACCUAUCCUACAUGCACAACGAAAGCAAACUAAAUAUGCAGAUACAUGGAAUCAAGAUUAAGUCUAAC